AGCCCGCUUAGCUCAGCGGUUAGAGCAUCGCAUUUGUAAUGCGAUAGUCAUCGGUUCGAUUCCGAUAGCCGGCUU
Molecule: transfer RNA, 75 nt
Filed under: Euonymus alatus (winged euonymus)
Lineage: Eukaryota; Viridiplantae; Streptophyta; Magnoliopsida; Celastrales; Celastraceae
Also listed under: 3 other names
Description: tRNA-Thr
Rfam family: tRNA
About the family: Transfer RNA (tRNA) molecules are approximately 80 nucleotides in length. Their secondary structure includes four short double-helical elements and three loops (D, anti-codon, and T loops).
Source: RNAcentral